This 1202-nucleotide ribosomal RNA is filed under the name Edwardsiella piscicida. RNAcentral describes it as "partial 23S ribosomal RNA". It matches the Rfam family "Bacterial large subunit ribosomal RNA", at positions 293 to 1509 of the family's 2925-position model. Lineage: Bacteria; Pseudomonadati; Pseudomonadota; Gammaproteobacteria; Enterobacterales; Hafniaceae. The record is from RNAcentral.
AAGAGCCCAGAACCUGAAUCAGUUUGUGCAUUAGUGGAAGCGUCUGGAAAGUCGCGCGAUACAGGGUGAUAGCCCCGUACACGAAGGUGCACAGCUGUGAGUUCGAUGAGUAGGGCGGGACACGUGUUAUCCUGUCUGAAUAUGGGGGGACCAUCCUCCAAGGCUAAAUACUCCUGACUGACCGAUAGUGAACCAGUACCGUGAGGGAAAGGCGAAAAGAACCCCGGCGAGGGGAGUGAAAUAGAACCUGAAACCGUGUACGUACAAGCAGUGGGAGCAUCCUUCGGGGUGUGACUGCGUACCUUUUGUAUAAUGGGUCAGCGACUUAUAUUUUGUAGCAAGGUUAACCGAAUAGGGGAGCCGUAGGGAAACCGAGUCUUAACUGGGCGUCUAGUUGCAAGGUAUAGACCCGAAACCCGGUGAUCUAGCCAUGGGCAGGUUGAAGGUUGGGUAACACUAACUGGAGGACCGAACCGACUAAUGUUGAAAAAUUAGCGGAUGACUUGUGGCUGGGGGUGAAAGGCCAAUCAAACCGGGAGAUAGCUGGUUCUCCCCGAAAGCUAUUUAGGUAGCGCCUCGUGAACUCAUCUUCGGGGGUAGAGCACUGUUUCGGCUAGGGGGUCAUCCCGACUUACCAACCCGAUGCAAACUACGAAUACCGAAGAAUGUUAUCACGGGAGACACACGGCGGGUGCUAACGUCCGUCGUGAAGAGGGAAACAACCCAGACCGCCAGCUAAGGUCCCAAAGUCAUGGUUAAGUGGGAAACGAUGUGGGAAGGCAUAGACAGCCAGGAUGUUGGCUUAGAAGCAGCCAUCAUUUAAAGAAAGCGUAAUAGCUCACUGGUCGAGUCGGCCUGCGCGGAAGAUGUAACGGGGCUAAACCAUGCACCGAAGCUGCGGCAGCGACGCUUAGGCGUUGUUGGGUAGGGGAGCGUUCUGUAAGCCUGCGAAGGUGGCCUGUGAGGGCUGCUGGAGGUAUCAGAAGUGCGAAUGCUGACAUAAGUAACGAUAAAGCGGGUGAAAAGCCCGCUCGCCGGAAGACCAAGGGUUCCUGUCCAACGUUAAUCGGGGCAGGGUAAGUCGACCCCUAAGGCGAGGCUGAAAAGCGUAGUCGAUGGGAAACAGGUUAAUAUUCCUGUACUUGGUGUUAUUGCGAAGGGGGGACGGAGAAGGCUAGACCGGCCGGGCGACGGUUGUCCCG